This 207-nucleotide ribosomal RNA is filed under the name uncultured bacterium. RNAcentral's name for it is "partial 16S ribosomal RNA". It matches the Rfam family "Bacterial small subunit ribosomal RNA", at positions 568 to 774 of the family's 1533-position model. The record is from RNAcentral.
CUCGUAGGCGGUUUGUCACGUCGUCUGUGAAAUCCUAGGGCUUAACCCUGGACGUGCAGGCGAUACGGGCUGACUUGAGUACUACAGGGGAGACUGGAAUUUCUGGUGUAGCGGUGGAAUGCACAGAUAUCAGGAAGAACACCGAUGGCGAAGGCAGGUCUCUGGGUAGUAACUGACGCUGAGGAGCGAGAGCAUGGGUAGCGAACA